RNAcentral lists this non-coding RNA (47 nucleotides) under Schistosoma margrebowiei. Lineage: Eukaryota; Metazoa; Platyhelminthes; Trematoda; Strigeidida; Schistosomatidae. The record is from RNAcentral.
AUUCAGCUGACCAGUGCCAAAUAGGACGAAACGAGCUUAAACUGGAU